Molecule: ribosomal RNA, 490 nt
Filed under: uncultured bacterium
Lineage: Bacteria
Description: partial 16S ribosomal RNA
Rfam family: Bacterial small subunit ribosomal RNA
Source: RNAcentral
AUUGAACGCUGGCGGCAUGCCUUACACAUGCAAGUCGAACGGCAGCAUGAUCUAGCUUGCUCGAUUGAUGGCGAGUGGCGCACGGGUGAGUCAUACAUCGGAACGUGCCCUGUAGUGGGGGAUAACUAGUCGAAAGAUUAGCUAAUACCGCAUACGACCUGAGGGUGAAAGUGGGGGACCGCAAGGCCUCAUGCUAUAGGAGCGGCCGAUGUCUGAUUAGCUAGUUGGUGAGGUAAAGGCUCACCAAGGCGACGAUCAGUAGCUGGUCUGAGAGGACGAUCAGCCACACUGGGACUGAGACACGGCCCAGACUCCUACGGGAGGCAGCAGUGGGGAAUUUUGGACAAUGGGCGAAAGCCUGAUCCAGCAAUGCCGCGUGUGUGAAGAAGGCCUUCGGGUUGUAAAGCACUUUUGUCCGGAAAGAAAUGGCUCUGGUUAAUACCUGGGGUCGAUGACGGUACCGGAAGAAUAAGGACCGGCUAACUACGUG